CAGGGCCCCGCGCUGGGUCAGCACUUUCCUCUGCGGGUGCUAAGGAGUGUUUCUCUGUUUCCCAUUCCCUCCCUUGUGCAGCCCUUUGCUUCUAGGAAAGCAGGAAGAAAUGGUCCGUGAAGUUUCAUUUGCCUUGAAAAAAACAGAAGCAUGUUCGGAGAAGUUCUAGGCCGUGGACCUGGCCAGGUGCCGCAGAGAAGGGUCCUGUGGCCAGACGGCCUGCCACCUGCAAGAAGCAGAGGAGGCCAGCAGGGAUAACAGUCCCAAGGCGGAGAGGACCCUGGAGCAAUUGGACCAUUUGUGCAGAAGCAAAAGCCUCAAAGGAAAAGAGAAAAAUCUCCUAAGUCUCUGAGGCCAGCCUUGGUAACAAGGAGCAUCUUCGCUGUUGGAAUCAUGGAUGAGUAAAUGGAGUUUAAGGACCCUAAAUUUUAUUUGGUUUGACCCCUUUACUUGCAAAUGGGCACCGUGAAUCCACAGAGGCUGUGACAGGCCUGCCACAUGUUCUCAGACGCUUCCCACGAUGCUCAUGGAACAACAAAAGGCUUCAUUGACCUGAAUCCAUCCGUACACUUAGAGUAACCUACACUUCCAUUUCCCUCCAAAAGGAAGUCUGAAAGAUACAGGAAACAACUGUCUGUGGUUAUGAUCCACUGAUAAUACCUGGCUCAGGGCCACAGCGGGAUGCAGGAGAGACAGAGAAGGGGAAGGAGCCACAGGGUGCAGUAAGGUCAAGAAGAACACCGGAAGAGGCCAGCCUGGUGGUGUAGUGGUUAAGUUCAAGCACUCGGCUUUAGCGGCCAAGGGUUUGCAGGUUUGGAUUCUGAAAGCAGACUUACACACUGCUCAUCAAGCCUUGCUGUGGCAGCAUCCCACAUACAAAAAAUAGAGGAAGAUUGGCAUAGAUGUUAGCUCAGCAACAAUCUUCCUCACCAAAAAAAAAAGAGAAUAACAACAAAGGAAGAAGGGAGGAGAAUGUGGUAUCAGAGGGUGAGAAGGAGAGAGAGAUGAGGAAGAGGCAAGGAGACCCCAAAAGCUUGGUCUAGAGAGCAAAGUAGGAAGACUGGGCGUUGGGGAGGGGCGUGAGACGUCGUGAGAAAACUUGGCCAAACUUGAAAUUUGACAUUUUCAAGAAGUGUCAGUCUGAAGGAUCAUAGAAAUCAAACCAGUAGCCUUGUGCUGAGAAGCCCAGCAAGAACAGUGUCUUUCAAAUAUUUGGAGAUUCUUCUUGUAACUGAAAUGAUUGGGAAUUUAUGCGACCAGCCCAAGUUGUCAUCCAUGGAACAAGGAUGAAUAGUCCAAGAAUCAGGUUCCAAGAACAAAGGAUGGAAGCCCCAGGAGAAUAGCAGCCUCAUCUGUCUGUCUCAUGUUCUCCCCCCAGGACUGUAACAGGGACUUAGUGGGCACUCCAUAAAUAGUUGAACAAAAUAAAUGA
Molecule: long non-coding RNA, 1432 nt
Filed under: Equus caballus (horse)
Lineage: Eukaryota; Metazoa; Chordata; Mammalia; Perissodactyla; Equidae
Description: lncRNA (ENSECAG00000055627.1)
Source: RNAcentral